This 593-nucleotide ribosomal RNA is filed under the name uncultured Candidatus Poseidoniales archaeon. Its description in RNAcentral is "bacterial SSU rRNA". It matches the Rfam family "Archaeal small subunit ribosomal RNA", at positions 1 to 600 of the family's 1478-position model. The record is from RNAcentral. Lineage: Archaea; Methanobacteriati; Thermoplasmatota; Candidatus Poseidoniia; Candidatus Poseidoniales.
UUCUGGUUGAUCCUGCCGGAGGCUACCGCUAUUGGAGUUCGAUUAAGCCAUGCGAGUCGAGAGUCUUAGGGACUCGGCGCACCGCUCAGUAACACGUGGGUAACCUGCCCUAUGCUGGGGAAUAACCUCGGGAAACUGAGAAUAAUGCCCCAUAGCCCACUACGCCUGGAACGGUGAGUGGGUCAAAGCUCCAGCGGCAUAGGAUGGGCCUGCGCCGUAUCAGGUUGUAGGGGGUGUAAAGUACCCUCUAGCCAUCAACGCGUACGGGUGUUGGGAGACAUUGCCCGGAGAUGGAUUCUGAGACACGAAUCCAGACCCUACGGGGUGCAGCAGGCGCGAAAACUUGGCAAUGCGAGCAAUCGUGACCAGGGAACUCCAAGUGCGUAGGGUAAGACCUACGCUUUUCUUGACUCUUCAAAGGUCUUGGAAUAAGGGGUGGGUAAGGACGGUGCCAGCCGCCGCGGUAAUACCGGCGCCUCAAGUGGUAGUCGCUUUUAUUGGGCCUAAAACGUCCGUAGCCGGUCUGGUGCAUUCGUGGGUAAAUCAACCCGCUCAACGGGUUGAAUUCUGCGAGCACGGCCAGACUUGGGACC